Molecule: ribosomal RNA, 404 nt
Filed under: Fusobacteriota bacterium
Lineage: Bacteria; Fusobacteriati; Fusobacteriota
Description: Fusobacteria bacterium partial 16S ribosomal RNA
Rfam family: Bacterial small subunit ribosomal RNA
Source: RNAcentral
UGGGGAAUAUUGCACAAUGGAGGGAACUCUGAUGCAGCGACGCCGCGUGAGUGAUGAAGGAAUUCGUUUCGUAAAACUCUGUUCUAUGGGAAAAAAAGGACUGUACCAUAGGAGAAAGCUCCGGCUAAAUACGUGCCAGCAGCCGCGGUAAUACGUAUGGAGCGAGCGUUGUCCGGAAUUAUUGGGCGUAAAGGGUGCGCAGGCGGCUUUACAAGUUGGAUGUGAAAUAUUGUGGCUCAACCACAAACGUGCAUCCAAAACUGCAAAGCUUGAGUUAAGGAGAGGUAAGUGGAAUUCCUGGUGUAGCGGUGGAAUGCGUAGAUAUCAGGAGGAAUACCGGUGGCGAAGGCGACUUACUGGACUUAAACUGACGCUCAGGCACGAAAGCGUGGGGAGCAAACAGG